GUGAUGUAGUGAUUCUUUUAGCCAUGUUAUCAUGUUGAUUAUUGACUUAUGAUGAUGUAUACCAAAAUUGGGUUGAAUUGAGGGUUUAUGGUAAGACCUUGAUUAUGAACUAUUAAGGAGACUUGGUAAGUCUUAUGAUCUCUAUCCAUUACUUCAAAUUGUGGUUAAUUAUGAUUAAGUCAUGAUGUUGUAUUGGAGUAUGCCUUGUAUUAAGAUUGAUAGGAUGGUAUGAUGUUGAAUUGAA
This 244-nucleotide unclassified non-coding RNA is filed under the name Hevea brasiliensis (rubber tree). The record is from RNAcentral. Lineage: Eukaryota; Viridiplantae; Streptophyta; Magnoliopsida; Malpighiales; Euphorbiaceae.